Long non-coding RNA from Populus trichocarpa (black cottonwood), 983 nucleotides. RefSeq lists it as uncharacterized. The record is from RefSeq and is a predicted model, not a curated record. The transcript is spliced from 2 exons. NCBI's taxonomy places the organism in Eukaryota, Viridiplantae, Streptophyta, Magnoliopsida, Malpighiales, Salicaceae.
AUCAUGCUAAAAAUUAUACAAAACAAACAAAUUCAUUUUGGACACGAAAUUGACCUUCUACAACUAUCAGAAAUGAACCGGAAAGAGGUAGAGCAGUGUUGGUGCGGGCUGAAUGAGCUACUGUGGGGUGGAUAGGGCGUGUGUUACAAGUGCAGCUGACAUACAAAAACAAUGGCUUUUUAGGUUGAUUGGGUCUGAUUUUUGUGAGGACAGAUCAAGACAAAUUUUUGAGGAAGCAGCUGCUAUAACCAUUCAUAAUGCAGAGCAAAACGAUUGUGUCGUGGCGCAAUUUUGUGUUUAUAUUGUUGCAAAGACUUGGAGAAUGGCAGCUCUGUGGUGUUGCUAUUAUGAAGGCUUGCAGAGAAGAUAACUUCGGUUGGACUGGAUUUGAUGUUGGAGAAAAAGGAGCAUGACAGAUCGGAGUAGAAAAACAUGGUAACUGGUGGCAGAUGGUUUUGUUGAUGAUCAAAAGAUGGAAAUGGGGCGGCUGCUAUCUUGUUUUUUUUUUUUUUUUUUUUGCAAAAAGUGAUGGAUUUUUUACCCUUUUUAUUGGUUAUAUAUAUAUAUAUAUAUAUAUAUAUAUAUAUAUAUUCUUCUCUCUAGGCUAUUGCAUUAUAGUGUUAGCUUCCCCUUUUUUCUAUGAUUUUUCUCGUCAAUUUGUUUUUGUUUCUUUUUCAAUAUUCUUUCAAAAUCUCUUCUCUGGUGAUUUAUUUAUAGUCUUUUCACCAUAUAUCUUUUCACCCAUAUUAAUACUACUAACUCUUUAUCUCGUAUCUUUACUUCCAUAUCCCUUUGUCUCUCUAUCUUCUCAUUCCUUUAUCUCAAAGUUGUUUUACAAUCUUCUCGUCCCUUUAUCUCAAAAAUUUAGGCUUUGCUUUAAGUAUGGAAAAAGAGAUUAUAAAAGAGUUGGUGAUAUCAAAUGAGAAAAAAAUUAGCCAGGUUGAUAGGAAGGGAAUCUGAAGAGGAAGAAAUUUUCAUCCCUC